GGAAGGAUCAUUACCAAUCUAAAAACCCUUUGCCCUGUCAAGGCUCCGGCCGCGCUGGGUGAAGUUUUUGACCUUUUGUGAACCAAAAAUCUUUCAGCUUCGGUAGCUGGCUGGUUUGGACUCGUGCCUGACCACGCCGUCAGCCUACCGGCAGCGCCAACCUAAACUGUUUUACAAAUUAUGUCUGAUACCAAAUUUUCGAAUGAAAAUUAAAACUUUCAACAACGGAUCUCUUGGUUCUCGCAUCGAUGAAGAACGCAGCGAAACGCGAUAGUUAAUGUGAAUUGCAGAAUUCAGUGAAUCAUCGAGUCUUUGAACGCACAUUGCGCCUUUUGGUAUUCCGAUAGGCAUGUCUGUUUGAGCGUCAUUACAACCCUCGGUUCGGUUUUAUUUUAGACCGUGCACCGGUAUUGAGUCUUUGGACCUGGUUCUCUGAGCCGGCCCAGGCUUUAAAGUUGACGCUUUCCGGGCUACGGAUCUGAGCAAACAUAGUACAGAAUUAACUUUCCUGCCCUGUUAGCUUUACAGAUCCGGUACGCACCGCCUGCAACCAAAAAUCUCCAUCCACGGAAAUUUUUCAGGUUUGACCUCAGAUCAGACAAGGAUACCCGCUGAACUUAAGCAUAUCAAUAAGCGGAGGAAAAGAAACCAACAGGGAUUGCCUCAGUAACGGCGAGUGAAGCGGCAACAGCUCAAAUUUGAAAUCUGAAGUCUUUGUCUUCCGAGUUGUAAUUUGAAGAGGAUGCUUCGGUUGUGGCCUGGGCCUAAGUUCCUUGGAACAGGACGUCGUAGAGGGUGAGAAUCCCGUACACGGCUACCGGCUUACUUCCAUGUGUAGCUCCUUCGAAGAGUCGAGUUGUUUGGGAAUGCAGCUCAAAAUGGGUGGUAAAUUUCAUCUAAAGCUAAAUAUUGGCGAGAGACCGAUAGCGCACAAGUAGAGUGAUCGAAAGAUGAAAAGCACUUUGAAAAGAGAGUUAAACAGUACGUGAAAUUGUUGAAAGGGAAGCGCUUGCAAUCAGACUUGCUUUCGGUUGAUCAACGUUCCUUCUGGUUCGUGCACUCUGCCGUUCGCAGGCCAGCAUCGGUUAGGACGGCGGGACAAAGGCUCCGAGAAUGUGGCUCUCUUCGGGGAGUGUUAUAGCUCGGUGCGUAAUGCCGCCUGCCCUGACCGAGGACCGCGCUUUUGCUAGGAUGCUGGCUUAAUGGUUGUAAGCGACCCGUCUUGAAACACGGACCAAGGAGUCUAACAUCUAUGCGAGUGUUCGGGUGUCAAACCCGUACGCGUAAUGAAAGUGAACGGAGGUGGGAGUCUUAGGAUGCACCAUCGACCGAUCCUGAUGUUCUCGGAUGGAUUUGAGUAGGAGCAUAGCUGUUGGGACCCGAAAGAUGGUGAACUAUGCCUGAAUAGGGUGAAGCCAGAGGAAACUCUGGUGGAGGCUCGCAGCGGUUCUGACGUGCAAAUCGAUCGUCAAAUUUGGGUAUAGGGGCGAAAGACUAAUCGAACCAUCUAGUAGCUGGUUCCUG
RNAcentral lists this ribosomal RNA (1524 nucleotides) under Orbilia pseudoaristata. RNAcentral describes it as "eukaryotic LSU rRNA". The stretch from base 585 to 1524 matches the Rfam family "Eukaryotic large subunit ribosomal RNA", at positions 1 to 960 of the family's 3401-position model. Lineage: Eukaryota; Fungi; Ascomycota; Orbiliomycetes; Orbiliales; Orbiliaceae. The record is from RNAcentral.